Molecule: long non-coding RNA, 2602 nt
Organism: Hyla sarda
Lineage: Eukaryota; Metazoa; Chordata; Amphibia; Anura; Hylidae
Exons: 3
Source: RefSeq, a predicted model, not a curated record
GGGGAAGAUGGAGAGAAGAUGGAGGCCAUUACCUGAAGGAGAAGAUGCCUGGGGACCCCCGAUCGACGCUGGAGACUGCUGGAUACUGGCUCAAAGCAUAAGAAUCGGCUGGCAAAGUGAGGAACCAAUGAUGUCCAGGCAUCAAACUUUAGAGUGGAAUAUGUAGCUGGAAGAAGACGUCUCCUGUAGGAAGACCCGGGGAACCUCGGUUAAGUCAGAAGAUCCACAGGAAUCCUCAGAGAAAGUUGGAUGUCAGAGGUUGGGGCUCCUUGCUAGAAAUCAUAUCAAGGACCAAAAGUACAGAGAGGAUAAAAAAAUAAGAAAGGUUUCAUUGUAGGCUAAAGUAUGGACAACACAUUUCAAAUGUCCAGCUCUCUUUGUCAGGUCCACAGUAUCAACUGGUCCCACCGAAAUUGGCAGGUUUGGCCGACUGUUCACAUAUGUGUAUGGGGCCUUUAGGCAUUGAUUUAUAAAGUUGUUCACUUUCUGUACACAUUUAACAUCCAGCACCUUAUAGACUAAGAUAAUAUGCCUCAUAAAAGGCAUAAAUAGAGAACUGAAAGACCAUUUCAUGUAACGUUUUUAUGAGGAUGUUAUAUAUUGUUGAGACUAAUCUGGUUCAUCAUCUAUAUUUCCUGUAUUAAUUGUUGAAAUGCUCACGUUUUACUGUUGAGGUCAGUCUGCCACAUUGCAAACCUGUUUUCCACUGGCCCCGGUUAUGCUGUAUAUCACAAGUGAAGGAUUUUAUAUUAUAACAUUUUCGAAGUCUCACUUCCGGCUCCUCUGCUGCACAGAGAGAACUUCUCAUUUCCUCAAGCCAGCGUCUGAGAUCAAUAGAGAUUAGAAAAAGUCUAGUGUGUAACAUAGCUAUAAUCUAAGAACAAGUAAGCAAUCUGUGAUUUACUGAAACUGAACUUUUUUCUCCUGUAUUAAGGAUACCCUGCUACUCCCUUCUGCAAACCAUCUUCUGCAACUCUUCAGAAGUUACGACAGGGCUGGGUUAUUGUAACCCCACAGAGCAUCUUCCUGAUACAAGACUUUUCCUAUGCACAAAGGAAAUAAUAUUAUUUAUUUCUUUAGUAAGGGUAUGUUCACACUGCGUAAUUCCGCGCUGUGAACAUUACCUUCAGUGUGAAUGGGUCUUCCGCGAGACCCGUUCACAUUGCGGAAUUUCAGCGGUGGACAAUUCUGCAGCUGAAAUUGUUCAGCGUAAAGAAAGAGCAUGUCCUUUCUUUGCAUGGAAUUCCGCGAGCACUGCAUAGCAGUCAAAGGUGAAGGCGCAGUGCUGCACGGCCCUACUGCCAAAGUAUUUUCGGCAGCGGCUGCCAGACGGAAGCGGAGAUACCCUAAGAAGGAGACUGUAGUGGGUGGCAGCAGAGCGCAGCCAUCAAGCAGUAAAUGAGCCAUAUCGUCGUCUAUCUCUCUAUCUAAACAAGAGGAUACAGUAGCACAUUGCUAGCGCUAUGUGAAAUAUGACAUGUUGUACUUUGCAAUACUGCUAUAGAGAAAAAUAGAGGUUCUUAGCUUACCAUUUGGCCAAAUAGUGUGUACCUCCCACCACAAUAAGGGGACCUCAUUUGGGACAGACCCUACACUACCUCUCCUAGGCUAGCGAUGAGCCUCAAUAUCUGGGCAUGCAAGGUAGAGCACAUCCCUCACUUAGUAGUUUUUAUUGGUACCAUUUUUGUUUUGAUCGCUUUUUAUAAAAAUUUUUAUGGUAUAUGAAGUGAUCAAAAAUGCACAAUUUUGGACUUUGAUAUUUUUAUAUAUCAUCAACCGUGCUGAUUAACUAACCUUAUAUUUUAAUAGUCUGGACAUUUACGCAGGCGGCGAUACAACAUAUGAUUAUGUUUAUUUUUUAUUACAUUAUUUAAUUUUAUAUUAAAUGGGAUAGGGGUGUGAUUGAAAGGGAUAAAUUCACUUUUAUUAACUCUUUUUUUUAGUCCCCAUGGGGGCUAUAACAUGCAAACUUUCGAUUGUAUACACUGUUCAAUGCUGAGCUUUGGCUUUGUUAUCAUGUUAUCUGCUGCUCUAGCCUGCAAAGCCUGGCUGGGACAUCAGAGCAUCUAUCGGAUGGCGAAGAGGCAGGUAAGGGCCCUCCCACCAUCCACUCAGCUGAGAGCCUCGGGACUCGCCAUUUUGCCGUGGAUGUCCCGAUCAGCUCUGCUGAGCUACCGGCACCUAUAGAUCCCACAUUUAGACACCGAGAUCAACUUUGAUUGCAGUUUUUAAAGGGUUAAUGUUAGACAUCGGCCCGAUCGGCGAUGUUUCAUGGCAAUUUCCAGCGUUAACCGUGGGAUCUGGCUGCUGGUAGAAACCAUAACUCUCCAGGUAUGAAGCGUGCUCAGCUCGUGAACAUGCUUUAAAUUUCGAUAAUGGGACCAGGGCAUACAGGUACACCCUUGGUCCUUAAGUACCAGGACGCAAGGGCAUACCUAUAUUCCCUUGGUUCUUAAGGGGUUAAUGGCACGGGAUACUUUGUAAUAUGAUGAAUUGCACUUUAUUAUGCGUCACUAUAUGCAUGCUGCACAUCAUGUAAUGUUUGCACUAAAAGACUUUUAUGAAUUUAGGUAUUAUGAAAUAAUUAAUGCACUUUGGUAGU